RNAcentral lists this ribosomal RNA (501 nucleotides) under Coelostoma orbiculare. RNAcentral describes it as "partial 16S ribosomal RNA". The stretch from base 378 to 501 matches the Rfam family "Bacterial large subunit ribosomal RNA", at positions 2473 to 2597 of the family's 2925-position model. Lineage: Eukaryota; Metazoa; Arthropoda; Insecta; Coleoptera; Hydrophilidae. The record is from RNAcentral.
GUCUUUUUGUAAUUAAUUUAAAGUCUAACCUGCUCUAUGAAUAUUUAAAUGGCUGCGGUAUUUUGACCGUACAAAGGUAGCAUAAUCAUUAGUUUUUUAAAUGGAAGCUUGUAUGAAAGGUUUAAUAAAAAUUUAACUGUCUUAAUUAAAUUAAAUAGAAUUUUAUUUUUGAGUGAAAAAGCUUAAAUUUUUUUAAAAGACGAGAAGACCCUAUAGAGUUUGUAUAUUUAUAGUAUGUAGAUUUUUUGUAAAAUAAAUAUUUAUUAUAUUUAUUUGAUUGGGGUGAUUUUAAAAUUUAUUAAACUUUUAAAUAUUUUUUUCAUUAAUAAGUGUUUGUAUGAUCCAAUAAAUUGAUUAAUAGAAAAAAUUACCUUAGGGAUAACAGCGUUAUUCUUCUUGAGAGUUCUUAUCGAAAGAAGAGGUUGCGACCUCGAUGUUGGAUUAAAGUUAAAUUGGGUGUAGAAGCUUAAUUUAUUAAGUCUGUUCGACUUUUGAAACUUU